Molecule: long non-coding RNA, 348 nt
Filed under: Trifolium pratense (red clover)
Lineage: Eukaryota; Viridiplantae; Streptophyta; Magnoliopsida; Fabales; Fabaceae
Description: long non-coding RNA (TPRA_LNC004197)
Source: RNAcentral
GCUUGUCUAUACUCUUCUCACAUGUGUUUUUAUUUUCCUCUUUUGAGUAAUGAACGAGUCCCACUCACACUCCCAUCCAACACUUGACCAUGUGAAUGUAACUUGUUUCAUAUCAUUAUGAAUAUGAUGUGUUCAAUUUCAAUACACACAUUCACAUUAAGCAGCAGUAGUAGAAGUAGAAGAUAUAUAUCCAACUAAACUAACUAACAACGGAAGAAAGAAUCAUCAAGCACAGUAGAAUAAUACUGUAAUAUGGCAACAACAAGGUCACUGGUGGGACCCACACCAUUUCUUCAUCCAUCAUACAAAUACAACAAAAUCAAUAAUGCUUCACUAAUCAAACCCCUC